RNAcentral lists this ribosomal RNA (253 nucleotides) under uncultured bacterium. RNAcentral describes it as "partial 16S ribosomal RNA". It matches the Rfam family "Bacterial small subunit ribosomal RNA", at positions 524 to 776 of the family's 1533-position model. The record is from RNAcentral.
UACGUAGGGGGCAAGCGUUGUCCGGAAUCAUUGGGCGUAAAGCGCGUGUAGGCGGCCAGAAAAGUCCGCUGUGAAAACUCGAGGCUCAACUUCGAGCUGUCGGUGGAAACUUUCUGGCUAGAGUCCGGAAGAGGAGAAUGGAAUUCCUGGUGUAGCGGUGAAAUGCGCAGAUAUCAGGAAGAACACCCGUGGCUAAGGCGGCUCUCUAGUACGGUACUGACGCUGAGACGCGAAAGCGUGGGGAGCGAACAGG